GAUAAACGCUGGCGGCGUGCCUAACACAUGCAAGUCGAACGUCCUUCUUCGCAAGAAGAAGGGAGUGGCGGACGGGUGAGUAACACGUGGGUCAUCUGCCCCAAAGUGAGGAAUACCGGCGAGAAAUCGCCGACAAGACCGCAUAGCCUUCGCAAGAAGGAAAGCUCUCUUUCGGGAGGGCGCUUUGGGAGGAGCCUGCGGCAGAUUAGCUGGUUGGUGGGGUUAUGGCCUACCAAGGCGACGAUCUGUAGCUGGUCUGAGAGGACGAUCAGCCACA
RNAcentral lists this ribosomal RNA (277 nucleotides) under uncultured bacterium. RNAcentral describes it as "partial 16S ribosomal RNA". It matches the Rfam family "Bacterial small subunit ribosomal RNA", at positions 28 to 312 of the family's 1533-position model. The record is from RNAcentral.